CAUCGACUUACAAGACAACUUCCCAUUUGGUCUAAAGAAAAUUAAAAGACGUGUGUGAGGAAACAAACAUGAUCGGCUUCAGCUGUGUUUUUUUUUUUUCUUGUUAUAUUAGAGCCGCAGCUCCGGCCAAUCCAAGUGACCGUUGUGUCUGUGGCAGAGUUACAACAUCAGCCAUAAUGUGAAGUGGGACCAUGGCUGGCCUGCUAUUCCCAGCCUGGGCAGCCCCCUGUCAGCCUCCUGACAGUUCCAGCCUGCUCCUUCACUACAGUGUUUUUGAUCGGCCCGGCCAGCUUCCGCUGGCAAGACAACCAACCAAAGCAGCCACUUUUUCCUCCCCCGUCACCCCCGUCCUGUCCCCCUCCUUUUCCCACUAUGUAAGCCCAUUUUUAGCUUGACAUAAUCUGAAAUGGUCCUUAAGUGAAUUUAUGUCUACCCCAGUGAAUUAACUUCUGCAGUUUCCUCCUUUAUGUUGCUGUUUUUUUGUAGGGGUUCAGCGACUGAAGGAGAAGAGAUUUGAAACUCAGACCACGGAGUAGACAGCCUAUCAGUAUUCAGUAGAGAAAGUGAGUGAUGGAGAGGGAGAGAGAGAGAAAGGGGGGGGUGAUGUAUCAAUAUUCUGAGUAGUGUUUGAGGGCAAGGGGAACGAACAGAGGAGAGGGAGAAUGUGGGGAGGAGGGGGGGGCUGGUGGGAGAGAGUACUUGAGUGAGUCUUUGACUGAUUAUUUGUACACGUAUAUGCUCAC
Molecule: long non-coding RNA, 743 nt
Filed under: Takifugu rubripes (torafugu)
Lineage: Eukaryota; Metazoa; Chordata; Actinopteri; Tetraodontiformes; Tetraodontidae
Description: lncRNA (ENSTRUG00000032459.1)
Source: RNAcentral